UGGUGUCUAAGACGAGUUAGCCUGCCA
Molecule: non-coding RNA, 27 nt
Filed under: Mus musculus (house mouse)
Lineage: Eukaryota; Metazoa; Chordata; Mammalia; Rodentia; Muridae
Source: RNAcentral